GGCAGUCGAGCGGGAACGAGAAGUAGCUUGCUACUUCGGCGUCGAGCGGCGGACGGGUGAGUAAUGCAUAGGAAGUUGCCCAGUAGAGGGGGAUAACCAUUGGAAACGAUGGCUAAUACCGCAUAACCUCUUCGGAGCAAAGCGGGGGACCUUCGGGCCUCGCGCUACUGGAUACGCCUAUGUGGGAUUAGCUAGUUGGUGAGGUAAUGGCUCACCAAGGCGACGAUCCCUAGCUGGUCUGAGAGGAUGAUCAGCCACACUGGGACUGAGACACGGCCCAGACUCCUACGGGAGGCAGCAGUGGGGAAUAUUGCACAACGGGCGAAAGCCUGAUGCAGCCAUGCCGCGUGUAUGAAGAAGGCCUUCGGGUUGUAAAGUACUUUCAGUUGUGAGGAAGGGUGUGUAGUUAAUAACUGCAUAUUUUGACGUUAGCAACAGAAGAAGCACCGGCUAACUCCGUGCCAGCAGCCGCGGUAAUACGGAGGGUGCGAGCGUUAAUCGGAAUUACUGGGCGUAAAGCGCAUGCAGGUGGUUUGUCAAGUCAGAUGUGAAAGCCCGGGGCUCAACCUCGGAAGGUCAUUUGAAACUGGCAAACUAGAGUACUGUAGAGGGGGGUAGAAUUUCAGGUGUAGCGGUGAAAUGCGUAGAGAUCUGAAGGAAUACCAGUGGCGAAGGCGGCCCCCUGGACAGAUACUGACACUCAGAUGCGAAAGCGUGGGGAGCAAACAGGAUUAGAUACCCUGGUAGUCCACGCCGUANACGAUGUCUACUUGGAGGUUGUGGCCUUGAGCCGUGGCUUUCGGAGCUAACGCGUUAAGUAGACCGCCUGGGGAGUACGGUCGCAAGAUUAANACUCAAAUGAAUUGACGGGGGCCCGCACAAGCGGUGGAGCAUGUGGUUUAAUUCGAUGCAACGCGAAGAACCUUACCUACUCUUGACAUCCAGAGAACUU
This 952-nucleotide ribosomal RNA is filed under the name uncultured Vibrio sp. RNAcentral describes it as "bacterial SSU rRNA". It matches the Rfam family "Bacterial small subunit ribosomal RNA", at positions 57 to 998 of the family's 1533-position model. The record is from RNAcentral. Lineage: Bacteria; Pseudomonadati; Pseudomonadota; Gammaproteobacteria; Vibrionales; Vibrionaceae.